UCGUGCCGCUAAAAGUCAUGAGCUGGUCC
RNAcentral lists this non-coding RNA (29 nucleotides) under Mus musculus (house mouse). Lineage: Eukaryota; Metazoa; Chordata; Mammalia; Rodentia; Muridae. The record is from RNAcentral.